Molecule: long non-coding RNA, 209 nt
Filed under: Elaeis guineensis (African oil palm)
Lineage: Eukaryota; Viridiplantae; Streptophyta; Magnoliopsida; Arecales; Arecaceae
Description: long non-coding RNA (EGUI_LNC070053)
Source: RNAcentral
UAGAUCUCUUCUUGCUUUAGAGCAUCCAAGGUGUUUGAAGAAGAAGGAAGAAAUUAGCCUCGAAGUUUCUUGCAAGCUAGCACUUCCAAGGAUCUUGAUCUGCACUGAUCUUCACAUGGACUUUUUGUAGAUGCCAGAUGACUUUGUAUGGCUGCAAGCAACCUGAAGGAGAGCCUCUCUAAGUGUUGGACUAGAACAGAUCAAGAGUC